GAGGUUGUUAUCGGAGCAGUGUUCCGACAGCACGAUAUGAGCAGAGAAAGAGAGAGAGAAGGAGAGAGAGAAACUUACCUGUUGGAACCGGCGUUAGUGAUAGCCUCAGACAAGGGAGCGGUGAGAGAAGGCGAAGAGAGCGAGGAGAGAGAAGAGAGAGAAAAAAAAAACUCUCAUAUAUAAAGUAAACAUAUCAGGAAAUUAAGGGGAGUCAAUACAUAGUAUAAAUACAUAUAAUUUAUUUUUUUACCUACC
This 255-nucleotide long non-coding RNA is filed under the name Nicotiana benthamiana. RNAcentral's name for it is "long non-coding RNA (NBEN_LNC041285)". The record is from RNAcentral. Lineage: Eukaryota; Viridiplantae; Streptophyta; Magnoliopsida; Solanales; Solanaceae.